Molecule: long non-coding RNA, 3142 nt
Filed under: Gallus gallus (chicken)
Lineage: Eukaryota; Metazoa; Chordata; Aves; Galliformes; Phasianidae
Description: lncRNA (ENSGALG00010023741.1)
Source: RNAcentral
UCUGGUUGGUGAUCCCUCUCUUGUGGAGUUUUCCCUGUGAGUCUGCAUCUUCAGAGAUGGGACUGCCACUUUCCUUUCCCCUUGCUCUUCACCCCUCGUUUUUGUCUUGAGGAAUACCUGGGGAAAGUCGCUCAUAGGAUCCCUGGAGCGUGGUACUUUGCUUUCAGAACUGCUUUGCAGGCCAUUUAGGAGGAAGCACAUGCAACCUCAGAAGUUAAUUUUCAGCUGAGCAAGAAACUUUGCUCUCCAGGGGAACAAGGAAGUACAUGACUCCAAAGGCUUUGGACAAGCACCAGCCAUCAAGAAGAUCGAAACAGUCAGCUGUCUAGCUGUACUCCAUACCCAGUGCCAGGAAGGAGACUAUUAACUAUGCCUCAGGUGGGGAAUGUUCCUGCAUACCACAAACACCAGCACAGCAGGGGGUGCAGAAAAGUUAAUUUUGGGUGGGAGAAUGAAGAUUCUUUGGUGCGAAUUCCAGGUCACUGAAAAAGAUUAUAUUACACCAGAAUGCAUGGGCUGGUAUCUCUGCUGUCCUGCUGCUGUGCUAAUAGAGAGCAGUUGGCCACCUAUGAGUGCCUUGAGGUCCACAGCCACAUGCUUAAAGUAACAGCAAGACUGGACUCUCUGUGCUUUGUUUGAAUAGCGAUUUGAAGAAGAGUGUGAGAUCAGUCUCUGAGGAGAAGGAGGGAGGAAGAGAAUUACAGAAUAGACUGCAGAAAGGGGGAACAUGGGGACGAAGACUUCCUGGGAAAUAGCAAAGCUCAGGUUAUAUCUUAGGGAAAACUCCCAAGGUCUUGAGGACAAGAAAACAGCUGACAAAAGCUCAAAGGGACAAAGAUGCUGCCUUGUGGAAGAAGAAUGUGAACUACACGUGGGUACUGGAGACUGGACCUUCCCCAGAGGAUGUCUGUCAUCCUGUCUACACAAUGUCAAUAAGCAGAUGAAGGAUCAUGGUCCUUCUUUUUGUUUCGAGACUGGCCUGCUGAGCAUGUUGUAUCACCUGACCUAGGUCAACCAUGGAACCUGUGUCAGAGUCAGGGACUGAAAGUUUCCUUAGCUGGUAGUCAAUACCUUAAUUGGAAAUAUAGUUAUGUCAACUCUGUACUGUUACAGUGUACAUACAGCUCUACUGCUUGGAACUGCUUGGGAUUAUAUUGCUGGGACAUGGGGCUCUUUCAUUUCCAGUGUAACAACUUGCGGUCAGCUAUGCUGGCCCAUCAGCUUGCCCUGCUUUGCUUCUGGUGCUCCCAACACAGCAAUCAGCAACUCGGGAAUACCUGGACCCAAGGUGCUAUGUUUGUGUUACUAGUAUCAGUAAUAGUGGCUUUGAACCGCUGCGCAUCAACAAGGCAGUGUCCUAACUUCACAGAAGAUUUUCUUCCUUCCUUCAAGAGAUUAUCUUGUCAGAUUAGACAUGACUAAGAGAGAAAUGGGAUAUCUACUCAUGUAAGGGACUAUAGGGAAGAGAAAGCAAAAAGUUGGUGGGAUAAUUUGGCUGGGACUACAGUAAGUAUAAAACAGUAAAAAAGGGAAAAUGAAGGUAAGAGUGGGGAAGAGGUAAAGGAGCAGAGGAUAUAGCAGCAGAGUGAAGUGAGCAGGAGGUCAGUUUGCCUUCCUAGUGUGAAUCAGAAUUGUGGAAUUUGUGAGCUAAGCAGAAGGGUCCAGGAGAUGAGAGGAGGGGGAAUGAUAUGGAAGGGCAGCACAGGUUGUGGACAAAGGGGACAGAGGUAGAGAAACCAAGUGGGAGAGGAAAUAAAGCUGAGAAGACCUGUUACAGACAAAGAGGAAAAGAAGUGCUGGAGAUGGUGGCUUUAAGCUGGAGACGGUUACGUAUUUUAGACAAGUGGAACUGUGUGUUGGAAAGACAAGCAGAGGUACAGUUUCAAGCAGUAUGAAGAGUCAGGUGAGGAUGAGGAAGAGAGUUUGGCUUACUGAGAAGUCCAAGGGAUUUAGAACUGCAAACUAGGGGAAUAGAGUGAAAUGGGAAGCCCAAAGAUGGUGUAUUAAAAAAAAAAAAAAACUGGAGUGGGAAUUGGGAUUCUAGCAAAAUGCUCAUUUUUGAGGAUACGUCAGCAACCAGGGCUUCUUCUGGUAGAAGACCUGACCAGAGGCAGCAGUCACUUAGGGAUACUUCUGCUGCUUUUGUGCCAGCUUAAUUCACAGGAGGAACAACCAAGAGUCUGUGGGAACAGUGAACAGGCAUUCAUUUACAGCAGCCUCUCCCUACAGAUCAGUGUCGUGAGCAGUCCAACAUGUGGAUGCUGUGCCUGAAAGUGAGUAGGUUAUGGGGCUCAACCUCUAAAGUGGAGCAGCAGAAAUAGUUGUAAGGCCAUGCUGUGUGGAUGGAUGGAUGUAAUGUAAGAUCAUACGGAUACUUGAAUGUUAAGUUUCCAGCCACAUUAAUUUUCAGUGAAUAUUACGUAGCAGGACUUCAAGCAGAGCCAUCAGAAGAGGCUCUUCAAAUCUUAACUGCUUUCUGGUCUGUAUCUUCCCCGUGCCCUUAUCACAAUACUCUCCAAAUUCAGAGUGAAUUAUUUUAUAUUGCUCCCAUCCAGUGCUGACAGAGAUUUCAUAGAUUUUGCUGAGACUGUACAUACUUUUCUGGAAGAUAAUUUCCUUCCAUCAGUGUGAAAGAUCUCAAAAGGCCAGAUGCCUAGGACAAAGUUAGGCUGUCUGAAUGCCUGUCUGCUUGGCCAGAGAGCCCACUGCUGCUUUUGAUAUGGCUUAUCAAGGUGGCCAUUUUCUUGUUUCUUAGAAGUGAAGGGAAGGUGUGGAAGGCCACUUUCUAGAAUGCACUGGGGUCAAUGAGGGCCUGACUUGGUCAACUUCAACAGGCUCUGGAUCAGGUCUCUAAUGACUGUUUGUAUGUAGGAUGGCAUGAGAAGGCUCAGAAGGGAUGUGGCCUAUGGCAGGAUCACUGCAGAGAAAGGAUGGUGCUUUACUGGGGGUGGAAAAUGGAAUUGUCACCGUGGAAUGAAUGAAUUGUACAGUUUCUCUUUUGUAACCCAGGGAAUAAUUAAGAUAGAUGGGUAGAUGAAUUAGCUGUCCUGCAAGGUCAAAAGUGGAUUGCCUUAUUACUCUAUUAUUUCACUGUUGUGGAACUAUCACCACUAACGCCUUUUUCAUGAUAUUUUGUACAUCG